CAUGAAAGAAGCAUGAAUGGAAAAAUAUAGACUGAGACUAGAAUCGUUGAACACAUAAUAGGUGUGGUGGAUAGGAAGCCAGGCUCGGGGAAGAAAGAUGGAUGAAGACAACACGUGCAGCCUGGCAGAAAGGGGCGUGUAUGCACACAGGAAUCACAAUGACCCCCAUGGGGACUAGGAAACAAAACUGGGCCAAAGCUUCCUACAAAGAAAAGCUUGUGAAGAGAGAUCCUCUUUCAGACCCCCAAUCAAAGGACGUUUUUCUGGACAAACAAAAUGGCUUACAACCAUUGUUGAUUGCUGCACUAGAAACUUCGACGGAACCAGUGGUAUGAUGCUAACACCUGGAAGGUUUCAGAAGAGGUUCGGGACCCUUCCUCCAAGAAUAUAUCCACGAUAACGUGGGAUGGAAGAAAUUAAUCAUCCACUGCUGGAGCCAGAAAAAAUGAGGAAUGGGUAGUGGAUAUUCAUUGUUCAUCACACCCUUGCCAGUAUUUGACCAGGAAUAGCCUGGUGACCAAAUCUGCAUAUAAGACUCCAGAGAGUCUCCUGAAGGCCUUUGGGAAAACACAGGAAGAAAUGGUCUCACUUCCUCAGGACAUUGUUUUGUCUGCAUGGCACUCUUGGGGUUGCCUCAGCCAUCCCUACCAGUCUGAGAAUGAAGACAACACUAAAGGUAACAGACUAGAGAGAUGGGACAAAACUCGGGCCCUAGGAGCAUGGUUGAACCACUGAGACAAACAAGCCUGAAGCCUCUGGACUUCUAGUUAUGGAAGUUAGUACCUCUCCUUAUUGUUUCAUCCUUGUGAGUUAGGAAGACAAAGGUUCAGAGGAGGAAUUCGCUGAGGAGUGAGGGGUACAUCCCCCCGCCACCAUGCAGCUGAUGGGGACCGUAAUGUUUGAGCUCAUGGAUGGGGAAGGGGGUGAGACUUAGGUAGAUUGGGUCCACCCAGCCCUUUGCUCCCUGACUAAGCAUACUUUGCAAACAGAGCAAAACUGAAGGAAAGAACUUUCCUUGGGAUUUCAGGUGUGUUUAUUCAGCUAAUGUAGCAGGGUUACAAACCACACAAACUAUAUACUCAUAUGUACGAAGAAGAUGUAGUUAAUUUUCUAUAAGCCUCAACCCUCAGUAGAUACCAGAGAUGCUUGCUAAUUAACUUGCUAAUUAAAGUUUCUGUCUCUUGGGCUUUAAACACCCUCCUUUUAGUUAAGCAAUCAGAUUAUUCAAAGUUCAGUUUCCUAGCAUGGCUGGCAUAGAUCGCGCAUUUUGGAUGACUCAGUCUCUCUGAGUAAAUUCUCAGCCUACCAGCGGGAUUCUCUAUGCUUUUCUCCUUCCUAAGAGGUGUGUGAGGCAGCUUAUGCCAUGGAUGUCCUCUAAAGGCUUGCUGGUUUCUGCUACACUAUGGUUUGUUGAUCUGCAUCCUUAACUGAUAAUCACUGUGGUGUGGCCCAUCCCAUUUGGCCCUCUCAAGUCAUGACGUGGUACUCAUGGUACCCAUCCCUGGAGUCUGUGGUCCCAGAUCUUUUACAAAGACCCCUUGCAUAGGACCUCUUUAUCCUGCUGGUGCUCUGGUACUCCCGUUCUCCCCCUUCCCUUCAGCAAGGCAUACAGCCACCUCUGCAGGCAAGAUGGGGCCAGCAGGGAGCCCUGAGCACUGCCCCAUGCUCGCCUGAACAGUCAGCUUGCUCUGCUCCAUCACUCUGCUGCUAUGUUGGACAGAGAGCUAAGCAGGGGCCAGGGCUCCCCAAGAAGCCAGCAGCCUCCUCUAGGCCUCUUUCUGGGAAGCUGCCCUAAGCCCCAGAAUGGUAGAUACCUCAAUACCUACAUGAAUGUCCUACACUCCCACUAGCUCAAGUUUGGGGGUCCAGAAGUGAAGAAAAUGCCUCUGGACUUGAUUCCUUUCUUUCUUUCUCAAAACUGAAGAAGUGUUGAAAAGUUCCGGCUUAUUAUUUCUCUAUCUUAUCUCUUCUCCACCUAAGACUCUAAGAUGGAGACCAUCAACUAUUGAUCUGUUCAAGAAGGGCACUAUGGAAUUCAGAUAUCUCUUCUCUAUCUCCAUAAAACUUGUAAGAUUUUUGAAUUUAUCAAAUUGCUUAAGGAAAAUCCCCAGAUUUGAAAUUCAAAUGGCUUAUUUUUUUUAAGCAGCAUUAGUCUUUUCCUUGUGUGGUAUAAUGAGUCCCAAGGUGGCUUAAAGCCAAGAGACCACAAAGUACUGGACUGAAAAAAAUGACAAUAAAUCAAUUAUAUUUACUUGUUUAGAUAAAAAUUAUAUAAUUAUAUAUGUAGUAUGUAUCAUUACAUAAUAUACAAUUUAUAUAUAAUUAGCCAUACGUGAGAGUAAGGAAUGAAUGACACUCAGGGGUCAUUGCCAACAUAAGAAAUGCAGGUUUUCUCGGCCUUUUGAUCACCUCUCAAUCCUUUCUGAAUGAUUUAAUGAACAAUUAAAGUUAGUCCUGCAGAUUUUUAUUUCUCCCCACUGUAAGAAUCAAGGAAUUACAUUGAAAAUGCUACAAGAUAAUCUUUGAGUAAAUACUAUUUAAAUGAAGGGGGUGGGUCUGUUACCUUGUCUAAUUAAAUCUCAGAUUAAUCCUAGAAAAUAAAGAAGGCCAUGUUUGUUGGGGAAUUGGAAUGGGAUAGACUCAAUAUCAAAAUCAGCAUAGCAACAGCAAACCAUGCACUGAACUUGAGAUAUCAUUGGCCCAAGACAGUGUAUGGUCAUAAGAAAGGGGAAAAUCACCUGCUUUUUCAGCGUGGAAGGCAAAAAUCCGCAUUUACUGAUGAAUGUCCAUCCUGAUUUCUGAGCCUAUCUAUUAAACCAGAGUCUUUCCUUUUA
Long non-coding RNA from Mustela lutreola (European mink), 2834 nucleotides. RefSeq lists it as uncharacterized. The transcript is spliced from 3 exons. The record is from RefSeq and is a predicted model, not a curated record. NCBI's taxonomy places the organism in Eukaryota, Metazoa, Chordata, Mammalia, Carnivora, Mustelidae.